GCCUUUCUGUUCGGCUACAGUCGGCAGUCUUGCUUUAAGACGUGUGAUGUGUCUCGCUCUCCCACUCGUAAGGCGAUAUUGUCAUACACACGAACACGCCUGCAGUCACACAUGCGUGUGCACAACAAUCAGUACACUGGGAAGAGGAGAGACUUGUACUGAGUGGCUUCUCAAUGGGAGAGAAAGACUGAGAGAGCGAGCACACGAAAGAGAGAGAGAGAGAGGGAGAGAGCGAGAGGUGCAGUCGCAUGUGCAGUUCCAAAAAGUGAAGAGACAAAUUAGCUUGUUAUCCCCCAAAGAAGCUUCACCUUCAGAGAGAAGCGUGAGGAGGCUGAGAAACAGGAGGAAGACGUUGGUUCUCUGGUGAUUUAAAGGUGACAUGACAAGCCUCUCGUCCCUCAAAUCCCAGCUAGUUUCUGACAGCGUUCCACAGCUGUGACGGGAGUUUGUGCUGUCGGGUGCCUGACUGUGUUCGGUGGAUUGCAAACAGGACUUGCAACAGAAGAGGGGAUCAAGGGCAGGAGCGGGAACGAAAGUCUCCUCAUCCCCCCCUCUGACUGACCCGCAGAUCCGAACAGGAACUUUUGCUGGGAAGCUCUUUCCUGAGAGCAUGGAUGGAUUUAUGACUAUGUGCUGAGGAUAUUGGAUGAACAAUUGACGGCACGUUACUUAAACGUUCUCCCCACCGUAUCUCACAGCCGGUGCUCCUGCCAUGUCCUGGCUCCUGUGUCUGUGGAUAAGUGUUAGCUGCUUACUGCUGUGCCAUGCCACUUUGUACGAGACCAUCCAGCAGCAUCAUGUGACCCACCCGGGCCGCAACGCCAUACAGAUUCUGGAGGGGGGAACAUGUGAGGUCAUUGCAGCACACCGAUGUUGCAACAAGAACCGGAUUGAGGAGCGUUCCCAGACAGUCAAGUGCUCAUGUUUACCGGGAAAAGUGGCCGGCACAACACGGAACAAACCCUCCUGUGUAGACGCCUCCAUCGUGAUUGGGAAGUGGUGGUGUGAGAUGGAGCCGUGUCUGGAGGGAGAGGAGUGUAAGACACUACCAGACAACUCCGGCUGGAUGUGUUCCUCUGGGAACAAGAUCAAGACCACGAGGAACACCCAGCCAUAUUCAACGUUUUAGCUCUGAGGCCCACUGAAGCUGGCUCGCCAGAAGCUCAGUGGUGUCCUUCUCCUCAUCAAGAGAGGGACCCCUCCUUGCCUGUAGCUCCAGACAAGGCAGCCCUCUUUUGAGGAAGGCACUCAGUGAGAGAGGCUGAGAGACACCCUCACCCUCGCCCUGCAUAGACCUACUUUUACCUGUUCCUAAUGGCUAUAUCAUUCAGCUCCUUAAAAUACAACCAAAAUCACUGUGUAAACAAAAAGACAAGGUUUACAUCUUACUGCAGUUUAUGUAUCUUCAUCUGCCUCAUUUGAGAAGAGAGAUGGACUCAACCUGUAGCUAUUGCACAGCUGUGAGCCAUUUUCUCCAGGCUGGAUAAAUCACCUCAGGACUGGCCCCUAAAUCCAGCUGGUCGCGAACGUCAGAGGCCAGAACAGUUUUGGUGGAUAAGAAUCCUGAUCUUAUUAAUAUUCAUAGGUAUCUAUACAUACAUUUAGAUAGAUGGUGAAGUGUACAACAUGGACAUAUUGACGGUAUCUAAAAUCUAUUUACUUAUAGAGAGAUUUAGAAACAUAAAUAUAUGAUUCCUUUAUAUUAUUUUUAUAUUAUACAUAUAUUAGUAUAGUUGCAUUUUACAAUUGUAUAAAUUUUUGAGCCCAUAAACCCACAAUUAACCACUUUUCUACUGUGUUAAAAAGUACCAGGCAGAUAAAUGUACAAUGACAAUCAUUAUAAUUAAAAUUUACCGUACGAUUAUAUUGAUAUUUUUAAGUCUUAUUUUUCAUGAAGCAACUGGUUAAGAAACAUGCAAGACCAAACAUUGUAAUGCUUAUAAGUUUCAGUGAUACAAAGUCACAGUGGAUGGGGCCAAUUGUCUAUGAGUUAAAUUGUGGCCUUUUUCUCACACAAAUCUAUCAUAAGGUUAAUGGUGACUUUAAUGUAUUGUAUAAAUAGAAGGGAUUACAUCUAUUACUUUAUGGUGCAUUUGUCAUUCUUUAUUGAACUACUUUGUUGAGAUAAAUGCAUUAAAUACAUUAAACGUGAUGGGAUUGAACAUAUUUCAUAAAUCUCAUCAGUGAAAAACAACCUAAUAAUUUCAUUAAUUCACUAUUAUAUGAAGCUAAAAGGUUUCAGAAACAAUUGAUAUAUCUCUAAUGUUGUUUAUAUGUGACAUGCAUACCAUUUAGAUGCUGUCAGUAUGUUAAUAUUGUGCAUUUCAGUAUCUAUGUACAAAAAUGUACAUGUCCUAGAACUACACUUUAAUGAGAUGAGUAAGGAGUGUGAGUACUCAAAUCCAGCCAAUUUGUCCAGAACAUUUUCUUGCAUGUUCUGCAAAUAGACACUUUUACAAGGAAACAGCAUGUUUAGUUCUCAGAAAAUGUAAUGGCUUGCUGUUUCCUCUCUGUUCCUCUGUGUUUGAAACACAUGUUCUUAACAGGAGGCUUUUGUACAAGAUACCUAUGCUGUUUAAAGAAUCCCAUCUGUGUGGAUUUUCAGAGUAAAAGUAAUCUGCCAAGUGAUGGUUUAAGAUUAAAUCACAGGAUGAUUAAGUCAGUGUGUCCCGAGAGUCCUGUUAAACCCAGAGCCUUGACUGUAUCUGUAUCUCUUUCAGCUGUCAAUGUCACAUUAAAUUAAUUCUAACACAAUUAUGCUGUCUGGAGUCUUGCUGUAUGUUAAGUCACAUUCAACAGCUGCAUAGUCUAAAUCAGAUUACAGUUUUAGUGCAUGGAGCUUGCACAACAAAAUUGAGAUAUCAUUUGAGAAUUCAAAUGCAAAUGGUGUACAACAAAUGUCUUUAGGAUGUGCUUUAGCCCAUCAACAGAAGCGGUAGCAGACAGUAAAGGACACCUGAGCAGAGAUGGAGGAAAUAUGGCAGCAUUUACAUAGAGUCCAAUAUAACAAACCACACUGGGAGAGACAGAUCCAUACAUACUAGCAGGCAACUGAAUACAAAUUGCAUCAGGGUCACUAUACUGGUUCUUGUGUAGUAUUUGGGGGUUGGAAGUAUGCACAGCAUGCAAAAGCUCUUAUUUGGAGAGGAAAGACAAGGAACAUUUGGCUUACGAAAAAACUAAAUGAUUAGCACGAAAAAAAAAAUCUGUCAGAAUUGUCAGUUAACGCUUACAUGUAUAUAAAAUAAGCAAGUCCAGCAAAUCUUAUUAUUUUAAACAAAGUGUUUUUUGCAUCUUUUGUCAAAGAAGCAGCUGUUUUUCCUUCUCAUGUUAGUAUUGGUGCAGUGCCACAGAGUUGCAUUAUAUUACUGAUGUUAGCCAGGGUGCUGUGUUUGUUUGCCAUUGGCUGGCUAACCUCUUUUGAUUGGCAUGAACUGGUACCUUUCCAGAGGGGAUCCGUUAUGAUGGACAGCUCCUCCUCCUCUGCCGUGCCUUGCCCAGGAUGAUGGGAGCACGUGGAGCGUAACUCUGCCACAUGAUAGCUGUCUCUCUGUUGGGUUAUAGGGGGCCCCAAGGGGUGCUUCUCAUUUCUGUCCCCAGUCACUCUCUCUGUCUCUGUCUAUGUCUCUCUCUCAAUCUGUAGCUCGCACCUGGCUGCCUUUCUUCACAUCUAGAUGGGGAAAUGUCAGCAUAUGCUUUAUGCGCUGAGGGCAAAGCCACAGGCUUGAGCAUUUAAUUAGCGAUUUUGGAUUUUGGAAAUAUUAUAUGUGAAACAAUCAUGCCAGUAAAGCACUUCUUUA
Molecule: RNA transcript, 3800 nt
Organism: Cyprinus carpio (common carp)
Lineage: Eukaryota; Metazoa; Chordata; Actinopteri; Cypriniformes; Cyprinidae
Gene name: chemokine-like protein TAFA-1
Source: RefSeq, a predicted model, not a curated record